AAUAUUGGACAAUGGGCGAAAGCCUGAUCCAGCCAUGCCGCGUGUGUGAAGAAGGUCUUCGGGUUGUAAAGCACUUUAAGUUGGGAGGAAGGGUUGUAGGUUAAUACCCUGCAAUUUUGACGUUACCAACAGAAUAAGCACCGGCGAAUUUCGUGCCAGCAGCCGCGGUAAUACGAAGGGUGCAAGCGUUAAUCGGAAUUACUGGGCGUAAAGCGGGCGGAAGUGGGUCGUUAAGUUGGGAGUGAAAGCCCCGGGCUUAACCCGGGAAUUGCUUUCAAAACUGACGAGCUAGAGUACGGUAGAGGGUAGUGGAAUUUCCUGUGUAGCGGUGAAAUGCGUAGAUAUAGGAAGGAACAACAGUGGCGAAAGCGACUACCUGGACUGAUAAUGAAACUGAAGUGCGAAAGCGUGGGGAGCAAACAGG
RNAcentral lists this ribosomal RNA (424 nucleotides) under uncultured bacterium. RNAcentral describes it as "partial 16S ribosomal RNA". It matches the Rfam family "Bacterial small subunit ribosomal RNA", at positions 360 to 776 of the family's 1533-position model. The record is from RNAcentral.